RNAcentral lists this transfer RNA (68 nucleotides) under Nipponacmea sp. JM-2022. RNAcentral describes it as "tRNA-Lys". It matches the Rfam family "tRNA". From Rfam's summary of the family: Transfer RNA (tRNA) molecules are approximately 80 nucleotides in length. Their secondary structure includes four short double-helical elements and three loops (D, anti-codon, and T loops). The record is from RNAcentral. Lineage: Eukaryota; Metazoa; Mollusca; Gastropoda; Lottiidae.
AGCUAAGUGGCCGAGUAGAAGGCAAUAGGCUUUUAACCUAUCUUACGGUCAAUCAUGGCCCUUAGCUA